UACGAAGGGUGCAAGCGUUACUCGGAAUUACUGGGCGUAAAGCGUGCGUAGGUGGUUCGUUAAGUCUGAUGUGAAAGCCCCGGGCUCAACCUGGGAAUGGCGAUGGAUACUGGCUCGCUAGAGUGCGGUAGAGGAGAGUGGAAUUCCCGGUGUAGCAGUGAAAUGCGUAGAGAUCGGGAGGAACAUCAGUUGCGAAGGCGGCUCUCUGGACCAGCACUGACACUGAGGCACGAAAGCGUGGGGAGCAAACAGG
This 253-nucleotide ribosomal RNA is filed under the name uncultured bacterium. RNAcentral's name for it is "partial 16S ribosomal RNA". It matches the Rfam family "Bacterial small subunit ribosomal RNA", at positions 524 to 776 of the family's 1533-position model. The record is from RNAcentral.